RNAcentral lists this ribosomal RNA (1248 nucleotides) under Escherichia coli. RNAcentral describes it as "partial 23S ribosomal RNA". It matches the Rfam family "Bacterial large subunit ribosomal RNA", at positions 144 to 1430 of the family's 2925-position model. The record is from RNAcentral. Lineage: Bacteria; Pseudomonadati; Pseudomonadota; Gammaproteobacteria; Enterobacterales; Enterobacteriaceae.
CACACUAUCAUUAACUGAAUCCAUAGGUUAAUGAGGCGAACCGGGGGAACUGAAACAUCUAAGUACCCCGAGGAAAAGAAAUCAACCGAGAUUCCCCCAGUAGCGGCGAGCGAACGGGGAGCAGCCCAGAGCCUGAAUCAGUGUGUGUGUUAGUGGAAGCGUCUGGAAAGGCGCGCGAUACAGGGUGACAGCCCCGUACACAAAAAUGCACAUGCUGUGAGCUCGAUGAGUAGGGCGGGACACGUGGUAUCCUGUCUGAAUAUGGGGGGACCAUCCUCCAAGGCUAAAUACUCCUGACUGACCGAUAGUGAACCAGUACCGUGAGGGAAAGGCGAAAAGAACCCCGGCGAGGGGAGUGAAAAAGAACCUGAAACCGUGUACGUACAAGCAGUGGGAGCACGCUUAGGCGUGUGACUGCGUACCUUUUGUAUAAUGGGUCAGCGACUUAUAUUCUGUAGCAAGGUUAACCGAAUAGGGGAGCCGAAGGGAAACCGAGUCUUAACUGGGCGUUAAGUUGCAGGGUAUAGACCCGAAACCCGGUGAUCUAGCCAUGGGCAGGUUGAAGGUUGGGUAACACUAACUGGAGGACCGAACCGACUAAUGUUGAAAAAUUAGCGGAUGACUUGUGGCUGGGGGUGAAAGGCCAAUCAAACCGGGAGAUAGCUGGUUCUCCCCGAAAGCUAUUUAGGUAGCGCCUCGUGAAUUCAUCUCCGGGGGUAGAGCACUGUUUCGGCAAGGGGGUCAUCCCGACUUACCAACCCGAUGCAAACUGCGAAUACCGGAGAAUGUUAUCACGGGAGACACACGGCGGGUGCUAACGUCCGUCGUGAAGAGGGAAACAACCCAGACCGCCAGCUAAGGUCCCAAAGUCAUGGUUAAGUGGGAAACGAUGUGGGAAGGCCCAGACAGCCAGGAUGUUGGCUUAGAAGCAGCCAUCAUUUAAAGAAAGCGUAAUAGCUCACUGGUCGAGUCGGCCUGCGCGGAAGAUGUAACGGGGCUAAACCAUGCACCGAAGCUGCGGCAGCGACGCUGAUGCGUUGUUGGGUAGGGGAGCGUUCUGUAAGCCUGCGAAGGUGUGCUGUGAGGCAUGCUGGAGGUAUCAGAAGUGCGAAUGCUGACAUAAGUAACGAUAAAGCGGGUGAAAAGCCCGCUCGCCGGAAGACCAAGGGUUCCUGUCCAACGUUAAUCGGGGCAGGGUGAGUCGACCCCUAAGGCGAGGCCGAAAGGCGUAGUCGAUGGGAAACAGGU